RNAcentral lists this ribosomal RNA (2157 nucleotides) under Triticum aestivum (bread wheat). RNAcentral's name for it is "partial small subunit ribosomal RNA". The record is from RNAcentral. Lineage: Eukaryota; Viridiplantae; Streptophyta; Magnoliopsida; Poales; Poaceae.
AUGGAAGCGGACGCGCUGCUGGAGAAGAUACGGGUGCUGGAGGAGGGCCAGGCCGAGCUCAAGCGGGAGAUAGGCAAGCUCACGACGGACCGCCGCGACGCCGACGCCGGGCGCCGCGCUUUCCGCGCGCUGCCGCCGCAGCCGCAGCCGCGACGCGUCGUCGCCCGCAGCGGCGGCGGGUUGGCCAGCAGGCACUGCCACUGGAAGUGGGUACUGCAGUCGCUGGGGCAGGCCGUGCACGUCAUUGGCACCGACGACAAGUUCUUGUACUGGAACCGGUAUGCUGAGCAUUUGUUUGGCUAUUCUGCAUCAGAAGCAGUUGGUCAGAAUGCCGUUGAAUUAAUUGUUCAUCCUACUGACUACAAUUCAGCAAAAAUCGUCAUCCAGACUAUAUUUACAGGGAAGUGCUGGAGAGGGAAGUUUCCUGUUAAGAACAAGUCAGGAGACAGGUUUUUUAUUCUUGGCCAGAACACCCUUUUAUACGAUGACGAUGGUAGCUUGGUGGGCCUCAUUGGUAUCUCGCAUGAUUUACGGACAUUAGAGGAGAUAUGUAGUCCCUCAGGUUCAGCGGAAUCCUAUCCAAGUACAGCAAGGCUCAAGUUCCAUGCUAACAACCAGCCUAAAAGUGGUUCACUAAACAAAGGUUCUCUUCAAUCUUCUACGACCUCCAAGAUAGUAACUUUGUAUUCUUUUCUUGAUGUUCAGGUUACCAGUGUUACAAGUAGAGUUUGUUCUCGGACAAGGACGUGUCAGGAUAGCGACAAACAGUAUGGUAGUGGCUCUGAGGGACAGUAUUCUGAACUUGAUCUCCAGGACGAGCUGGUAUCAAGUGAAGAAAACACCGCUGGUGGGGAUGUAAUGCAUCGUGCCUUUGUGGCCGAAGAGAAAUCCCCUGGUGAGUUGUACAAAACAAUUAGUGAUGAUUCAGGAGAAGGAAAAGUAGGAUUUCACAAGAUUUUAAAUUCGAAGGCUGAGGCAUUGUUGGCCAAGAUGGGCAUAUCAUGGCCUUGGAAAGGCCAUGAAAUUCAUGGGGGUUCUGGGAAUAAUAACGUGAACUCAAUACAGUUGCAUGAUAAGCCAGAGAAUGACCAGACCUUUCAGAGAGUUCCAGUUCUAGAGCCUAUCAUAAUUCCAGGCUGCCAAGACAGCGAAUACAAUCGGGCUUGCAAAUAUGAGGUCUCAGGUUCCUGGUGGGAUUGCAACAAGGACUGUGCGAGUAGCAUGAGCAGCACUUGGAGUACUAAUAGCAGCAGUAUUGAUUAUGAAGCAGACUACUUAGAUUAUGAGGUUUUCUGGGAAGACCUAGUAAUUGGAGAACAAGUAGGUCAAGGUUGAUGCGGAACAGUGUAUCAUGCUUUGUGGCAUGGCUCGGACGUGGCAGCUAAAGUAUUCUCCAAGCAGGAAUAUUCAGAAGAAAUGAUGACUACCUUCAGACAAGAGGUAUCAUUGAUGAAGAAACUACGACAUCCCAAUAUAAUACUUUUCAUGGGUGCAGUUGUGUCGCAGCAACCACUUUGUAUUGUUACUGAAUUUCUCCCACGCGGGAGUUUGUUCCGGUUGCUCCAAAAUAACAUUGGCAAGCUGGAUCCAAGGCGGAGAGUUAACAUGGCUAUAGAUAUUGCAAGGGGCAUGAACUAUCUUCACAAUUCCAUCCCCACUAUUGUGCACCGUGAUUUGAAAUCGCCAAACCUGCUGGUUGAUAAGAAUUGGAAUGUAAAGGUUGCGGACUUUGGUCUUUCACGUCUGAAACUUGAAACAUUUCUGACAACAAAAACUGGAAAGGGAACAGUAACCAGCCCCAGUGGAUGGGUGUUGCGGAGUGAACCUUCAAAUGAAAAGUCUGAUGUAUUCAGCUAUGGAGUGGUCCUAUGGGAGCUUGUUACUCAGAAGAUUCCCUGGGAUACGCGCAAUACAAUGCAGGUUGUCGGAGCCGUGGGUUUCAUGGAUGGCAGACUUGAAAUUCCAGGGGACACGGAUCCUCAGUGGGCAUCGAUGAUCCAGAGUUGUUGGGACAGUGACCCGCAACGCCGCCCUUCGUUCCAAGAACUCCUUGAGAGGCUCCAGGUGCUACAAAAGCAGUACACUGUUGAAGCGCAAAUGGAGCGAAAAAGGGCUGGGAAAGGUGCUGGAAAGAUGAGCGCCAAAGAUGAGAGCUAG